GGGGAUUUAGCUCAGUGGUAGAGCGCUUGCCUAGCAAGUUCGAAGCCCUGGGUUCGGUCCCCAGCUCCG
Rattus norvegicus (Norway rat) is the source of this 69-nucleotide non-coding RNA. Lineage: Eukaryota; Metazoa; Chordata; Mammalia; Rodentia; Muridae. The record is from Rfam.